UACGUAGGGUGCAAGCGUUGUCCGGAAUUAUUGGGCGUAAAGAGCUUGUAGGCGGUUUGUCGCGUCUGCUGUGAAAACCCGCAGCUCAACUGUGGGCUUGCAGCCGAUACGGGCGGGCUGGAGUUCGGUAGGGGAGACUGGAAUUCCUGGUGUAGCGGUGAAAUGCGUAGAGAUCAGCAGGAACACCCGUGGCGAAGGCGGCCCCCUGGGCCGUACCUGACGCUGAGGCGCGAAGGCUAGGGGAGCGAACGGG
RNAcentral lists this ribosomal RNA (253 nucleotides) under uncultured bacterium. RNAcentral describes it as "partial 16S ribosomal RNA". It matches the Rfam family "Bacterial small subunit ribosomal RNA", at positions 524 to 776 of the family's 1533-position model. The record is from RNAcentral.